Molecule: long non-coding RNA, 533 nt
Filed under: Mustela putorius furo (domestic ferret)
Lineage: Eukaryota; Metazoa; Chordata; Mammalia; Carnivora; Mustelidae
Description: lncRNA (ENSMPUG00000030895.1)
Source: RNAcentral
GGGAUUUUGAGGAGAGAAUCUGCCUCUGUGCUGGCCCAGAUUGACGGCACAAACAUUUCUAUCAGGAAUGACAGAACGGCAGAGUCAAGCUGGUCGUGUAUAAAGCAACUACGGUCACACAAAUGAGGAGCCCAGUAUGACCAGGUGGAGGUCGUAGUCCCAAGUUCAAUGGAAUUCUUCCCAUGUUUCCCUGUGGAAGACUUUCUUCCUUGGAAGCUAGGACCUCUAUUCCAGCAGGACCUAAGGUUUCAGGGAUAAGAAGAGUACAUUUUUUUAGACAAACCAUUCACCUUUGCCAGGAGAACAAGGACCGUGACAACGUGCGCUAGUCACAGCUCUGCUGCUUGGAACUGAUCCGAUGGAACACCAUGAAUCCAUAAGUGUAACUUCAAGGAGAAGCAUUAGCCCUAGAGAGGUACUUAAUAUCCAAGUCUAGACCAUCUGUUCGUGUUUCUUAUUUGUGCCCUUGGGAAUUAUUCAGACCCAGUUCUAAAUGUCCCAUUUUCAUCAUAUAAUAAACUGUUGCUCUGCCU